CUAAUUGUGACAUAAAAAAAAUCAACAUUGUGCAAACAUGAGAUGCAAAAGCCAAAAUUAUGACACAAGUCGAAAUUAAGAGAUCAAAAUGUAGAUAAUUGCCCCUUAUUACAACUUGUCAAUUUGGACUUCUUUCAUAAUUAUGAGUUAGUAUGUCAUAAUUUUGAAAAAAGUAAUAAUUGUGACUUUUUAUAUCAUAAUCCUGAUUUACCAAAGCAUGCUUGUUUUUCUUCUUUGGCAGAAAUGAGACAUACAAGACCACCAGGGCAGCAGAGCAGAUAUUUUCCCUCUCCGGUAGCUGCCUUCACCACAUAUUUUUACCAAAGCUUGAACAAAGGAAGGAAAUCUGACGUGCCCUGGAGGAAACUGCACAAUGUUGAAGUUUAUGGAAGUCUGGUACUACUGAAACCGCCCUAUUGUGUUGCAACACCCAGUCUGGCUUACAACAUGCAUGCAACAGAUUUAUACUUGCCUAUGUAGGUGGAGGCCUCACCGUUUGGUUCCUGGAAUGGUGUGAUAAACCCCAUCAUGGAAGCAGAGCCAAAGGUCAACCAGGAAAAGCAACCUUGGGAAGCAAGAAUGCUUUGCUCUGAGGAAGUACAUCAUAGACACUCGGGAAGGCACACCUCCCCAAUGAGUCAGCAUUACUGCUAGGUGGACUCUAGGAUAUGACAUUAAUAAAAUGUUCUUAUGGACACCUUUAACAAAAGGCC
This 713-nucleotide long non-coding RNA is filed under the name Sinocyclocheilus anshuiensis. Its description in RNAcentral is "lncRNA (ENSSANG00000006950.1)". Lineage: Eukaryota; Metazoa; Chordata; Actinopteri; Cypriniformes; Cyprinidae. The record is from RNAcentral.